This 1055-nucleotide long non-coding RNA is filed under the name Salmo salar (Atlantic salmon). Its description in RNAcentral is "lncRNA (ENSSSAG00000115698.1)". Lineage: Eukaryota; Metazoa; Chordata; Actinopteri; Salmoniformes; Salmonidae. The record is from RNAcentral.
GUUUAAACAUUCUACAGUCUGAGACCAACACGCAUAUGGGGUGGCUGCUGCCAGUGAUCUUCUUACUAUAAACAAAACUUCAAAGGCUGGAAGCAUCUUGCCAAAUGUGCCUACCACUUAUCAGAGCCAUUCAGAACGGUCUGCAAAAGCACUUUGGAGAAAUGAUGGAGGAGCCACAGCUUAUUGCUGCUCUAAUCUUUCUGUCAAAGUUCAAGACGUCUUGGACUGACAAAGCUGAUGUCAUCACAACCGGUUUGGCGUACCUGAAGAAUCAUCUUGACACAAUCACACAGGACGAGACAGCAUCUCAGUGUUCGAUAGGUAGUUCCACCAAAAAUAUGCCUUUUUGAACAUUCCUUUGAACAUUUGUAUAUGUGAUCCAGCUGUGCUGGACCUUAACUUGUUGGUUAAUAUCUGGUGUUUUAUGGAACAUUUAGCCUGUCAAGCAUUACAUGUAAACAAUAUUACAUAUACAGUAGUAUAUAGAAAAUAUACAUUUUUAAUAUUAAUUUGUUUGUGAAGCUUGCAUUGCCACAUCCUUUUCACAUGAACUUCUGUUCUUGUAAAAGGUGAAUAAAAAUAACUAUCAAAAUUGACAUAGCAAAUUGUUUUAAAGUCAUUUAGUAACUUUUACUCUGAGUACUUUUUGAAUAUGCUACUUUUUACUUUUACUUGAUUACAAUUUCAUUAAAGUAACAAUACCUCUACUUGAGUAGGAUUUUACAGUACUCUUUCAACCCCGGAUUAAAACGUUUGUCAAGUGCCUGCAAACCCUCAGGAGUCCACUUUAUCUUGUCCUUCAUCUCCAUCUUGUGGCCAUAGAGGAAGAUAGAAAAAAAGAGGGAACAUGGAAGGAAAGAGAGGCAGAUCUAGCCACAUGUCUUUAAGUGGUGGGGGUAACCAACAGGCUCAGACAAAGAGAGUGUCACUCACUUAACUCCUGUAGAGAAGACAGGAACAGACAGGCAGCCACGAGAGGAGUGAGGUUCUAAACCCAGAGGUCCAACAUUGCUAUAUUUCGGGGAACGCUUCGCAAAGCAGACUUGACAGUCCAG